UACAGAGGUCUCAAGCGUUGUUCGGAUUCAUUGGGCGUAAAGGGUGCGUAGGUGGUGAUGCAAGUCUGGUGUGAAAUCUCGGGGCUUAACUCCGAAACUGCAUUCGAUACUGCCGUGCUUGAGGACUGGAGAGGAGACUGGAAUUUACGGUGUAGCGGUGAAAUGCGUAGAUAUCGUAAGGAAGACCAGUGGCGAAGGCGGGUCUCUGGACAGUUCCUGACGCUGAGGCACGAAGGCCAGGGGAGCAAACGGG
Molecule: ribosomal RNA, 253 nt
Filed under: uncultured bacterium
Lineage: Bacteria
Description: partial 16S ribosomal RNA
Rfam family: Bacterial small subunit ribosomal RNA
Source: RNAcentral